Long non-coding RNA from Passer domesticus (house sparrow), 1961 nucleotides. RefSeq lists it as uncharacterized. Lineage: Eukaryota; Metazoa; Chordata; Aves; Passeriformes; Passeridae. The record is from RefSeq and is a predicted model, not a curated record. The transcript is spliced from 5 exons.
AAUUACAAGCAUGGCAACUGCAUUCCAUCCAGGGAGCAGCAACUGUAAUUUACCCUAGAAUUUCUGUGCUGUUGUAACUUCUGUUAGGAUGUGAAUAUAAAUUCUCAGUUUCCUCUAAUUUUGCCCCAAUUCUUCUUUCCACUGUGUGCUAACAUGGGCAGCAGAUGUGGUACUUGUGGUGUACCAGACUGAGCAGGAAUAUGCUGGUCACCCACAGGGCCCAGCAGGUCAUUUCUGGUCAGCCAGUCACCAGCCUUGUGGGGAGUGAUGGGUCGGCUUUGCUCCUUGGAACAGACUGAUUGGCUGAGCCGGUGCCAUGCAGCUAUACCACAGCAGUGCCACGUCAUGGCACCUCCUCUGCUGGGCUGAGGGCCACCAACCCAUCCUCCAGGGCAUAUCCAGCUGCUGAUCAUCUGAGGGCUCUUCAGGCACCACUGACUGUGUUGAGAAGAUAUUCAUCAGCUAUGAUGAUGCUUAGACACUUUGGACAUCUAUAAAUCCCCCAGGUGAAUAUAAUAAGUGUUAAAAAUUGAGAGAAAGACAGGAAGUUACAGUUUUCAGCACAGUGGAGGUGAGACUUAUUCAGGUGACUGAUUCCAUCUAUUCUGUAUCGCAGGGAUAUUUUCACAUUAUGCAGCACCUGACAAACCCCUGUAACUGCAGUGAUACUUCUGGUGAAUCAUUUGCCACCUCAUCAUCUUGGUGUACGGUGUCACCCGUGGUACUGCACACCCUGGCUCCACAGCUGGCCUAGACACUGUCACUGUGGCAGUCAAGUUGGAAGAAAGUUCAUUUCACUGCAUCUCUUCGGUGCUACUUUGGCCAACCUAACAGAAAUAAGAUCAAACUAAUAAUUUUCUCUACAAAACUCAGGAAAUCUGAUUCCAAAAUAAAUAAAGUAUAUGUAGUGUUGUUCACGUUUUACUACAUAUUGAAUUUAACCCCCACAAUCCUCAGGGGUACUGCUCUGCUCAAAACUCAAUGCAUCCAGAAACAUUCUUGAACUUGGGUUCAAAUCUUUGAUCUUGCCAAUAUAUUCCUGUAGAGAUAAAUGGAUUUUGAUUGAGGUAAAGAAAGGGGAAGUGUAUAAAGUCUGUAUAAACAAAAACAAACUAAAAUGGACACUAUUCAUUACUGCAGACCAAACCACUAUUUCUGUGUUUUAUCUAAGCAACGUCUCAUUUUAAAAGUAUAACAAGAUGUUGUAGCUGGAACUCUAAUCCAGAUAUUUUUGCCCUGGUCUGUCGUUUAAUAACCUGAUCACUAAAUUUAAAAGAUUAUACUGUUUGUGUGUUACUGGUGUCUUUGCACCACUUUUAUAUGGGAUGAGGACAGGCACUUCUGUUCAGAGUUUUUAGGUUAAUGGUACAAACCUCUUUUCCCUGGGAACAGAGACAUAGAUUUGAAUUUCCCUGUGUUGAUUAACAGACAAAACCAGGUACCUCUCUGUAUUGGCUCUGAAUGGUAACAAGGUGCUGUGCUAAUUGAUGGAUGUAGUGCUGUUUCUGUGAUUUUUCCAUGCUCCUAGUAUGCUUUCAGAGGCUCAGGUUCUCUGCACUCUGUGGAUUACAAUGAAGUCUAGAAGGGAGGGGGUAUGUGUAAAAUGUUGGCCUGAGAAUUGUUAGAACGUUGGAGAGAAUAGCAAUUUUAAAGUCUCUCUCCUGUAUUUUAAUAGGCACAGGAAAUACUAUUUUUUCCCCUAUCUUGUUCUUAUGUUUCUGUUUCUUAUCUAUUUCUUUUUUAUCUUGACUGAAACCACGGUCAGGGUUGUAGUUCUAGCAGUGAACCAUAGCUUCCAAACUCAGUGAUCUGAAAAAUAACAGGAAAGAAAAAAAAAAGGAACUUAUUAAAAUGAACUGAAAGAUAUUCUUAUGUUGAAAAGAUGAGGGUUAGAGGGGUGAAGGAAGAGGAAAGUAAAGUGUUGUAUAUGGGACUGAAGAGUACCUGCAACAACUACAGGA